Molecule: non-coding RNA, 109 nt
Organism: Nemania sp. FL0916
Lineage: Eukaryota; Fungi; Ascomycota; Sordariomycetes; Xylariales; Xylariaceae
Source: the annotation of a GenBank genome assembly
GCCCUGGUAGCUCAAUUGGUUAGAGCGUCGGACUUUUAUCGGCAUUGCCCUGAAAAGCGCCAUCCGGAAAGGCAUCCGAAGGCUGCGGGUUCGACCCCCGCCUGGGGCG